This 386-nucleotide unclassified non-coding RNA is filed under the name soil metagenome. RNAcentral describes it as "partial contains 5.8S ribosomal RNA, internal transcribed spacer 2, and large subunit ribosomal RNA". The stretch from base 1 to 120 matches the Rfam family "5.8S ribosomal RNA", at positions 35 to 154 of the family's 154-position model. The record is from RNAcentral.
GAUGAAGAACGCAGCGAAAUGCGAUAAGUAAUGUGAAUUGCAGAAUUCAGUGAAUCAUCGAAUCUUUGAACGCACCUUGCGCUCGUUGGUAUUCCGACGAGCAUGCCUGUUUGAGUGUCAUUAAAUUCUCAACCUCAUCGCUUUUGUGAUGAUGGCUUGGAUGUGGAGGUUUUCUGCAGGCCGAAAGGUCUGCUCCUCUCAAAUGAAUUAGUGGGUGCCCCGCGCAAACCUAUCUAUUGGUGUGAUAAUUAUCUACGCCGUGGAUUUUAGGAUUGCUGUAAAAAGGUGUUUGCCCUGCUUCUAACCGUCUUCGGACAACUUGAACCAUUUGACCUCAAAUCAGGUAGGACUACCCGCUGAACUUAAGCAUAUCAAUAAGCGGAGGA